UCUCUAUGUCUGGAGCUCCUGGACAUAAGACCUAGAGGUAUCUGGUUCUGAGAAGAGGAAGUUUUGCUAAGUGAGAGACACAGCUGACUCAACUGACUCAGAAAACUGAGUAUCUUCCUGGUCCCUGAAAGAUCCUAUAGAGACAUCCAGUCCCUGACUCCACCUGCCUCCAGGUGCCCAGAACAGCCCAUCGUGGGGACUUCACCCUCAGCAAGUGGACGCUGUUUGUCCUGCCGGGGCAGGGACACCGAGCUGGGGACAUGGGGCAUGAGCAGGUUGAUGUCGGGAAAUACACCAAUCACCUCGGGAUUGUGCACGCGGACCCUGGGG
Molecule: long non-coding RNA, 330 nt
Organism: Symphalangus syndactylus (siamang)
Lineage: Eukaryota; Metazoa; Chordata; Mammalia; Primates; Hylobatidae
Source: RefSeq, a predicted model, not a curated record